CAUAGGGGAGUAACUAGCGGUUUAACCGCGGCAAUGUCACCAACAAGAAAGUUCUUUUUCUGGUAUUGCCUUAAAUAGUGAGACUUAUGUAUGUUCAAAGUUCCGCAACAUACAUAAGUCUUUUUUU
This 127-nucleotide non-coding RNA is filed under the name Dellaglioa algida. RNAcentral describes it as "Streptococcus sRNA 10". It matches the Rfam family "Streptococcus sRNA 10". Lineage: Bacteria; Bacillati; Bacillota; Bacilli; Lactobacillales; Lactobacillaceae. The record is from RNAcentral. RNAcentral also lists the same sequence under 1 other name.